Molecule: ribosomal RNA, 385 nt
Filed under: uncultured bacterium
Lineage: Bacteria
Description: bacterial SSU rRNA
Rfam family: Bacterial small subunit ribosomal RNA
Source: RNAcentral
AUUGAACGCUGGCGGCAUGCCUUACACAUGCAAGUCGAGCGGCAGCGCGGGGGCAACCCUGGCGGCGAGCGGCGAACGGGUGAGUAAUGCAUCGGAACGUGUCCUCUUGUGGGGAUAACCAGUCGAAAGACUGGCUAAUACCGCAUGAGCUCGUAAAGAGGAAAGCGGGGGAUCCGUAAGGACCUCGCGCGAGAGGAGCGGCCGAUGCCCGAUUAGCUAGGGUGGGUAAAGCCUACCAAGGCGACGAUCGGUAGCUGGUCUGAGAGGACGACCAGCCACACUGGGACUGAGACACGGCCCAGGCUCCUACGGGAGGCAGCAGUGGGGAAUUUUGGACAAUGGGGGCAACCCUGAUCCAGCCAUGCCGCGUGUGUGAAGAAGGCCU